Molecule: ribosomal RNA, 567 nt
Filed under: uncultured archaeon
Lineage: Archaea
Description: bacterial SSU rRNA
Rfam family: Archaeal small subunit ribosomal RNA
Source: RNAcentral
CGGGGUGCACCAGGCGCGAAAACUUUACAAUGCUGGCAACAGCGAUAAGGGGACCUCGAGUGCCAGGAUACAAUCUUGGCUGUCGCGAUGCCUAAAAAGCAUUGCAUAGCAAGGGCCGGGCAAGACCGGUGCCAGCCGCCGCGGUAACACCGGCGGCUCGAGUGGUAACCGCUAUUAUUGGGUCUAAAGGGUCUGUAGCCGGCCGGAUAAGUCUUUUGGGAAAUCCAGCUGCUCAACAGUUGGGCUUUCAGAAGAUACUGUUCGGCUCGAGACCGGGAGAGGUGAGAGGUACUUCAGGGGUAGGGGUGAAAUCUUGUAAUCCUUGAAGGACCACCAGUGGCGAAGGCGUCUCACCAGAACGGAUCUGACGGCAAGGGACGAAAGCUAGGGGCACGAACCGGAUUAGAUACCCGGGUAGUCCUAGCCGUAAACGAUACUCGCUAGGUGUCAGCCACGGUGCGACCGUGGUUGGUGCCGUAGGGAAGCCGUGAAGCGAGCCACCUGGGAAGUACGGCCGCAAGGCUGAAACUUAAAGGAAUUGGCGGGGGAGCACAAGGGCGAAUCGCG